AUUGAACGCUGGCGGUAGGCCUAACACAUGCAAGUCGAACGCGAAAGUCCUUCGGGAUGAGUAGAGUGGCGGACGGGUGAGUAACGCGUAGGAAUCUAUCCUGUAGUGGGGGAGUAACGUUUCGAAAGGAACGCUAAUACCGCAUACGCCCCAAGGGGGAAAGCGGGGGAGUCUUCGGACCUCGUGCUAUAGGAGGAGCCUGCGUCGGAUUAGCUAGUUGGUGAGGUAAAGGCUCACCAAGGCGACGAUCCGUAGCUGGUCUGAGAGGAUGAUCAGCCACACCGGAACUGAGACACGGUCCGGACUCCUACGGGAGGCAGCAGUGGGGAAUAUUGCGCAAUGGGCGAAAGCCUGACGCAGCCAUACCGCGUGUGUGAAGAAGGCCUUCGGGUUGGUUAAAGACACUCUCAGUGGGGAGGGAAAAGAC
This 427-nucleotide ribosomal RNA is filed under the name uncultured bacterium. Its description in RNAcentral is "bacterial SSU rRNA". It matches the Rfam family "Bacterial small subunit ribosomal RNA", at positions 29 to 455 of the family's 1533-position model. The record is from RNAcentral.